GUGGGGAAUAUUGGACAAUGGGCGAAAGCCUGAUCCAGCCAUGCCGCGUGUGUGAAGAAGGUCUUCGGAUUGUAAAGCACUUUAAGUUGGGAGGAAGGGCAGUAAGUUAAUACCUUGCUGUUUUGACGUUACCGACAGAAUAAGCACCGGCUAACUUCGUGCCAGCAGCCGCGGUAAUACGAAGGGUGCAAGCGUUAAUCGGAAUUACUGGGCGUAAAGCGCGCGUAGGUGGUUUUGUAAGUUGGAGGUGAAAUCCCCGGGCUCAACCUGGGAACUGCCUCCAAAACUGCAUGACUAGAGUACGGUAGAGGGUAGUGGAAUUUCCUGUGUAGCGGUGAAAUGCGUAGAUAUAGGAAUGAACACCAGUGGCGAAGGCGACUACCUGGACUGAUACUGACACUGAGGUGCGAAAGCGUGGGGAGCAAACAGGAUUAGAUACCCUAGUAGUCC
This 450-nucleotide ribosomal RNA is filed under the name uncultured bacterium. RNAcentral describes it as "partial 16S ribosomal RNA". It matches the Rfam family "Bacterial small subunit ribosomal RNA", at positions 354 to 796 of the family's 1533-position model. The record is from RNAcentral.